AUUGAACGCUGGCGGCAGGCCUAACACAUGCAAGUCGAGCGGUAGAGAGGUGCUUGCAUCUCUUGAGAGCGGCGGACGGGUGAGUAAUGCCUAGGAAUCUGCCUAGUGGUGGGGGAUAACGUUCGGAAACGGACGCUAAUACCGCAUACGUCCUACGGGAGAAAGCGGGGGAUCUUCGGACCUCGCGCCAUUAGAUGAGCCUAGGUCGGAUUAGCUAGUUGGUGAGGUAAUGGCUCACCAAGGCGACGAUCCGUAACUGGUCUGAGAGGAUGAUCAGUCACACUGGAACUGAGACACGGUCCAGACUCCUACGGGAGGCAGCAGUGGGGAAUAUUGGACAAAUGGGCGAAAGCCUGAUCCAGCCAUGCCGCGUGUGUGAAG
Molecule: ribosomal RNA, 381 nt
Filed under: uncultured bacterium
Lineage: Bacteria
Description: bacterial SSU rRNA
Rfam family: Bacterial small subunit ribosomal RNA
Source: RNAcentral